GACGAACGCUGGCGGCGUGCUUAACACAUGCAAGUCGAACGGAAAGGCCCUGCUUUUGUGGGGUGCUCGAGUGGCGAACGGGUGAGUAACACGUGAGUAACCUGCCCUUGACUUUGGGAUAACUUCAGGAAACUGGGGCUAAUACCGGAUAGGAGCUCCUGCUGCAUGGUGGGGGUUGGAAAGUUUCGGCGGUUGGGGGUGGACUCGCGGCUUAUCAGCUUGUUGGUGGGGUAGUGGCUUACCAAGGCUUUGACGGGUAGCCGGCCUGAGAGGGUGACCGGCCACAUUGGGAUUGGGAUACGGCCCAGCCUCCUACGGGAGGCAGCAGUGGGGAAUAUUGCACAAUGGGCGGAAGCCUGAUGCAGCAACGCCGCGUGCGGGAUGACGGCCUUCGGGUUGUAAACCGCUUUCGCCUGUGACGAAGCGUGAGUGACGGUAAUGGGUAAAGAAGCACCGGCUAACUACGUG
RNAcentral lists this ribosomal RNA (468 nucleotides) under uncultured bacterium. Its description in RNAcentral is "partial 16S ribosomal RNA". It matches the Rfam family "Bacterial small subunit ribosomal RNA", at positions 28 to 507 of the family's 1533-position model. The record is from RNAcentral.